This 476-nucleotide long non-coding RNA is filed under the name Lathyrus oleraceus (garden pea). RNAcentral describes it as "Pisum sativum (pea) long non-coding RNA (PSAT_LNC031034)". Lineage: Eukaryota; Viridiplantae; Streptophyta; Magnoliopsida; Fabales; Fabaceae. The record is from RNAcentral.
CGGGGUCUUGCAACCAAAUCUUGGGUUCGGCAGUCGGUUAUGCGAAGGGAAGGUAUUAGCACCCCUACGCAUCCGUAGUACUCUACGGGAUCCACUUGUGUAGUUCUUGUCUAAAGGGUGUGGGUUUAUCUAAUGUGUUAUUUACUAAAAAAGGGGGGUUAAAUGAAAAUGACUCGCGCGGAUGUCGCAUCCACUGCAUACGUAUCUCAUCUGAAUAUGAGAAUCAGAGUCUUCGUAGCUCGGCUGACCUAUGGGUUGGGGGGAUGUGUGCUCGCUAAGACAUCGCGUCUUAUGCCUACGUAUCUCAUCUGGCCUGAGAAUCAGAGCAAAACGUAGUUCGGCUAACUAUGGGGUUAUGGAUUGGGUUUUGGACGAACGACGUCACUACGCAAUCUACCGGAUGCUCGACCUUUGGAGACUUACUCGCCUGUAGUAGAAGGAGUUAACGUGUUGCUUUGGGUUUUAGGGUUUGGGAU